GAUGAACGCUGGCGGCGUGCCUAAUACAUGCAAGUCGAGCGAACAGACGAGGAGCUUGCUCCUCUGACGUUAGCGGCGGACGGGUGAGUAACACGUGGAUAACCUACCUAUAAGACUGGGAUAACUUCGGGAAACCGUAGCUAAUACCGGAUAAUAUAUUGAACCGCAUGGUUCAAUAGUUAAAGACGGUUUUGCUGUCACUUAUAGAUGGAUCCUCGCCGCAUUAGCUAGUUGGUAAGUUAACGGCUUACCAAGGCAACUAUGCGUAGCCGACCUGAGAGGGUGAUCGGCCACACUGGAACUGAGACACGGUCCAGACUCCUACGGGAGGCAGCAGAAGGGAAUCUUCGGCAAUGGGCGAAAGCCUGACGGAGCAAAGCCGCGUGAGUGAUGAAGGACUUCGGAUCGUAAAACUCUGUUAUUAGGGAAGAAAAAAUGUGUAAGAAAAUAUGCACGGCUUGACGGUACCUAAUAAGAAAGCCACGGCUAACUACGUG
This 497-nucleotide ribosomal RNA is filed under the name uncultured bacterium. RNAcentral's name for it is "partial 16S ribosomal RNA". It matches the Rfam family "Bacterial small subunit ribosomal RNA", at positions 28 to 507 of the family's 1533-position model. The record is from RNAcentral.